GAUGAAGAACGCAGUGAAAUGCGAUAAGUAAUGUGAAUUGCAGAAUUCAGUGAAUCAUCGAAUCUUUGAACGCACCUUGCGCCCUUUGGCCAUUCCGAAGGGCAUGCCUGUUUGAGUAUCAUGAACACCUCAACUCUUUAUGGUUUUCCAUGAUGAGCUUGGACUUUGGGGGUUUUGCUGGCCUAUGGUCGGCUCCUCUAAAAUAAAUCAGCUUACCGGUGUUUGGUGGGUAUCAUGGGUGUGAUAACUAUCUACGCUUGUGGUUUUUCCACCAGGUAACCUUCGACAGCGGAGGUUCACUGGAGCUCAUAGAUGUCUCUCCUCAGCGAGGACAGCCCUUUGAAUGUUUGAUCUCAAAUCAGGUAGGACUACCCGCUGAACUUAAGCAUAUCAAUAAGCGGAGGA
RNAcentral lists this unclassified non-coding RNA (405 nucleotides) under soil metagenome. Its description in RNAcentral is "partial contains 5.8S ribosomal RNA, internal transcribed spacer 2, and large subunit ribosomal RNA". The stretch from base 1 to 121 matches the Rfam family "5.8S ribosomal RNA", at positions 35 to 154 of the family's 154-position model. The record is from RNAcentral.